AGUGAACGCUGGCGGUAGGCCUAACACAUGCAAGUCGAACGGCAGCACAGUAAGAGCUUGCUCUUACGGGUGGCGAGUGGCGGACGGGUGAGGAAUACAUCGGAAUCUACUUUUUCGUGGGGGAUAACGUCGGGAAACUUACGCUAAUACCGCAUACGACCUACGGGUGAAAGCAGGGGAUCUUCGGACCUUGCGCGAUUGAAUGAGCCGAUAUCGGAUUAGCUAGUUGGCGGGGUAAAGGCCCACCAAGGCGACGAUCCGUAGCUGGUCUGAGAGGAUGAUCAGCCACACUGGAACUGAGACACGGUCCAGACUCCUACGGGAGGAAGCGGUGGGGAAUAUUGGACAAUGGGCGCAAGCCUGAUCCAGCCAUACCGCGUGGGUGAAGAAGGCCUUCGGGUUGUAAAGCCCUUUUGUUGGGAAAGAAAAGCAGCAGGUUAACACCCCGCUGUUCUGACGGUACCCAAAGAAUAAGCACCGGCUAACUUCGU
This 491-nucleotide ribosomal RNA is filed under the name uncultured bacterium. RNAcentral's name for it is "partial 16S ribosomal RNA". It matches the Rfam family "Bacterial small subunit ribosomal RNA", at positions 29 to 506 of the family's 1533-position model. The record is from RNAcentral.